AACGAACGCUGGCGGCAUGCCUAACACAUGCAAGUCGAACGAGACCUUCGGGUCUAGUGGCGCACGGGUGCGUAACGCGUGGGAACCUGCCCUUAGGUUCGGAAUAACUCCCCGAAAGGGGUGCUAAUACCGGAUAAUGUCUUCGGACCAAAGAUUUAUCGCCUUUGGAUGGGCCCGCGUUGGAUUAGCUAGUUGGUAGGGUAAAAGCCUACCAAGGCGACGAUCCAUAGCUGGUCUGAGAGGAUGAUCAGCCACACUGGGACUGGGACACGGCCCAGACUCCUACGGGAGGCAGCAGUGGGGAAUAUUGGAAAAUGGGCGAAAGGCUGAUCCAGCAAUGCCGGGUGAGUGAUGAAGGCAUUAGGGUUGUAAAGCUCUUUUACCCGGGAUGAUAAUGACAGUACCGGGAGAAUAAGCUCCGGCUAACUCCGUG
RNAcentral lists this ribosomal RNA (433 nucleotides) under uncultured bacterium. Its description in RNAcentral is "partial 16S ribosomal RNA". It matches the Rfam family "Bacterial small subunit ribosomal RNA", at positions 29 to 507 of the family's 1533-position model. The record is from RNAcentral.